AAAAUAAUAAUAUUCCGAGUAAUAUAAUCUACGGGAAACUAGGAUUUUAUUACCAAAGCUUAGAGCUUUCGGGUUUAUUUGGAAACAAAUGAGCCUUCCAUUUGAAAAGGAAUCAAGACAACAUAUAC
This 128-nucleotide non-coding RNA is filed under the name Candidatus Epulonipiscium sp. Its description in RNAcentral is "Epulopiscium sp. MoCo sequence". It matches the Rfam family "Molybdenum/Tungsten riboswitch aptamer (Moco RNA motif)". The record is from RNAcentral. Lineage: Bacteria; Bacillati; Bacillota; Clostridia; Lachnospirales; Lachnospiraceae.